CCUACGGGCGGCUGCAGUGGGGAAUAUUGGACAAUGGGGGGAACCCUGAUCCAGCCAUGCCGCGUGUGUGAAGAAGGCCCUCGGGUUGUAAAGCACUUUCAGUGAGGAAGAACGCCUGGUGGUUAAUACCCAUCAGGAAAGACAUCACUCACAGAAGAAGCACCGGCUAACUCCGUGCCAGCAGCCGCGGUAAUACGGAGGGUGCGAGCGUUAAUCGGAAUUACUGGGCGUAAAGCGCGCGUAGGUGGCUUGAUAAGCCGGUUGUGAAAGCCCCGGGCUCAACCUGGGAACGGCAUCCGGAACUGUCAAGCUAGAGUGCAGGAGAGGAAGGUAGAAUUCCCGGUGUAGCGGUGAAAUGCGUAGAGAUCGGGAGGAAUACCAGUGGCGAAGGCGGCCUUCUGGACUGAAACUGACACUGAGGUGCGAAAGCGUGGGUAGCAAACAGGAUUAGAUACCCUAGUAGUC
RNAcentral lists this ribosomal RNA (465 nucleotides) under Vreelandella stevensii. RNAcentral's name for it is "partial 16S ribosomal RNA". It matches the Rfam family "Bacterial small subunit ribosomal RNA", at positions 338 to 795 of the family's 1533-position model. The record is from RNAcentral. Lineage: Bacteria; Pseudomonadati; Pseudomonadota; Gammaproteobacteria; Oceanospirillales; Halomonadaceae.